AAUAUUUCGCAAUGGAGGGAACUCUGACGCAACGACGUCGCGUGAGCGAAGACGGNCUNNGGAUCNUNAAGCUCUGUCUUUGGNNNNNACAGAAAUGACGGUACCCAAUGAGGAAGCCCCGGCUAACUACGUGCCAGCAGCCGCGGUAACACGUAGGGGGCAAGCGUUGUCCGGAAUUACUGGGCGUAAAGGGUGCGUAGGCGGCAUAUUAAGUCAGGUGUGAAACCCCACGGCUCAACUGUGGGCUUGCACAUGAAACUGGUAUGCUUGAGUACAGGAGAGGAAAGCGGAAUUCCUAGUGUAGUGGUGAAAUGCGUAGAUAUUAGGAAGAACACCAGUGGCGAAGGCGGCUUUCUGGACUGUAACUGACGCUGAGGCACGAAAGCGUGGGGAGCAAACA
RNAcentral lists this ribosomal RNA (400 nucleotides) under uncultured bacterium. Its description in RNAcentral is "partial 16S ribosomal RNA". It matches the Rfam family "Bacterial small subunit ribosomal RNA", at positions 360 to 774 of the family's 1533-position model. The record is from RNAcentral.